CAGUCGCCGCGGUAAUCCAGAGGGUGCGAGCGUUAAUCGGAUUUACUGGGCGUAAAGCGUGCGUAGGCGGCUUCUUAAGUCGGAUGUGAAAUCCCUGAGCUUAACUUAGGAAUUGCAUUCGAUACUGGGAAGCUAGAGUAUGGGAGAGGAUGGUAGAAUUCCAGGUGUAGCGGUGAAAUGCGUAGAGAUCUGGAGGAAUACCGAUGGCGAAGGCAGCCAUCUGGCCUAAUACUGACGCUGAGGUACGAAAGCAUGGGGAGCAAACAGGAUUAGAUACCCCUGUAGUCCCUGUCUCUUAUAC
This 301-nucleotide ribosomal RNA is filed under the name uncultured bacterium. RNAcentral's name for it is "partial 16S ribosomal RNA". It matches the Rfam family "Bacterial small subunit ribosomal RNA", at positions 509 to 807 of the family's 1533-position model. The record is from RNAcentral.